AUGAGACUUGCUUUGUUACGAGAAGCUGGAGCACCAUGGGGUUUGAGUACCGAAAGCAGCAUGGUCCAAGCAGCUUCCCGUGGUCGAGCCAGGCUGGGGCGAUGCAGCCACCCAGCACCUGGACCAUGCAGAGCCACCCAGCACCUCGGACCAUGCAGAGCCAUCCAGCACCUGGACCAUGCAGAGCCAUCCAGCACCUCGGACCAUGCAGAGCCAUCCAGCACCUGGACCAUGCAGAGCCAUCCAGCACCUCGGACCAUGCAGAGCCAUCCAGCACCUGGACCAUGCAGAGCCAUCCAGCACCUCGGACCAUGCAGAGCCAUCCAGCACCUGGACCAUGCAGAGCCAUCCAGCACCUCGGACCAUGCAGAGCCAUCCAGCACCUGGACCAUGCAGAGCCAUCCAGCACCUCGGACCAUGCAGAGCCAUCCAGCACCUGGACCAUGCAGAGCCAUCCAGCACCUCGGACCAUGCAGAGCCAUCCAGCACCUGGACCAUGCAGAGCCAUCCAGCACCUCGGACCAUGCAGAGCCAUCCAGCACCUGGACCAUGCAGAGCCAUCCAGCACCUCGGACCAUGCAGAGCCAUCCAGCACCUGGACCAUGCAGAGCCAUCCAGCACCUCGGACCAUGCAGAGCCAUCCAGCACCUGGACCAUGCAGAGCCAUCCAGCACCUCGGACCAUGCAGAGCCAUCCAGCACCUGGACCAUGCAGAGCCAUCCAGCACCUCGGACCAUGCAGAGCCAUCCAGCACCUGGACCAUGCAGAGCCAUCCAGCACCUCGGACCAUGCAGAGCCAUCCAGCACCUGGACCAUGCAGAGCCAUCCAGCACCUCGGACCAUGCAGAGCCAUCCAGCACCUGGACCAUGCAGAGCCAUCCAGCACCUCGGACCAUGCAGAGCCAUCCAGCACCUGGACCAUGCAGAGCCAUCCAGCACCUCGGACCAUGCAGAGCCAUCCAGCACCUGGACCAUGCAGAGCCAUCCAGCACCUCGGACCAUGCAGAGCCAUCCAGCACCUGGACCAUGCAGAGCCAUCCAGCACCUCGGACCAUGCAGAGCCAUCCAGCACCUGGACCAUGCAGAGCCAUCCAGCACCUCGGACCAUGCAGAGCCAUCCAGCACCUGGACCAUGCAGAGCCAUCCAGCACCUCGGACCAUGCAGAGCCAUCCAGCACCUUGGACCAUGCAGAGCCACCCAGCACCUCGGACCAUGCAGAGCCAUCCAGCACCUGGACCAUGCAGAGCCACCCAGCACCCUGGACCAUGCAGAGCCAUCCAGCAUCCCGGACCAUGCAGAGCCAUCGAGCAUCCCGGACCAUGCAGAGCCACCCAGCACCUCGGAUCACGCAGAGCCAUCGAGCACCUCGGAUCACGCAGAGCCACCCAGCACCUCGGACCAUGCCGAGCCAUCGAGCAUCCCGGACCGUGCAGAGCGGGCCCGGGCAGCGGGGGCGGGGGGGGGGGGGGGGGGGGGGGGGGGGGGGGGGGGGGGGGGGGGGGGGGGGGGGGGGGGGGGGGGGGGGGGGGGGGGGGGGGGGGGGGGGG
Molecule: long non-coding RNA, 1548 nt
Organism: Ficedula albicollis (Collared flycatcher)
Lineage: Eukaryota; Metazoa; Chordata; Aves; Passeriformes; Muscicapidae
Source: Ensembl